CCUACGCGUGGCUGCAGUGGGGAAUAUUGCACAAUGGGGGAAACCCUGAUGCAGCGACGCCGCGUGAGUGAAGAAGUAUUUCGGUACGUAAAGCUCUAUCAGCAGGGAAGAAAAUGACGGUACCUGACUAAGAAGCCCCGGCUAACUACGUGCCAGCAGCCGCGGGAAUACGUAGGGGGCAAGCGUUAUCCGGAUUUACUGGGUGUAAAGGGAGCGUAGGCGGGGAUGCAAGUCUGAAGUGAAAGGCGGGGGCCCAACCUCCGGACUGCUUUGGAAACUGUAUGGCUGGAGUGCAGGAGAGGGAAGUGGAAUUCCUAGUGGAGCGGUGAAAUGCGUAGAUAUUAGGAGGAACACCAGUGGCGAAGGCGGCUUACUGGACUGUAACUGACGUUGAGGCUCGAAAGCGUGGGGAGCAAACAGGAUUAGAUACCCUGGUAGUC
Molecule: ribosomal RNA, 440 nt
Filed under: uncultured bacterium
Lineage: Bacteria
Description: partial 16S ribosomal RNA
Rfam family: Bacterial small subunit ribosomal RNA
Source: RNAcentral